CUAGAAGGACUCUUUAACGGACUACAAAUCCCGGCAUACAGAGUAGUUAGCCGCUUCUGGCCGCGCGUUCUGGAGCCUGUUAUAUCAGUGUCUCUAUUUCCGCAGACUGGAAACAAUUCAAAUAUCUCAACUGGCGAAUGGACAAACAAAAUGUGAUACAUCCAUAGGAUGAAAUGAUACUCCAUGAUAAAAACGAACUGAUAAUGUCUGUCAACAUGAAUGAAUCUGAGAAUGCUUAUGCUGUGUGAAAAAAUCCAGGCACAGCACAUGCUGUACAAUCUCAUUUUAUGAAAUUCUAGAAAAGGAAGGGUACCUUUCGCAUGGGAGAUUUAUUCCUUGCUUUCUGGAGACAAAAGGAAGUCAGAAUUUCAUUUAUACAGAAGCAAAGAAGAGAAUUAUCUGUUGAAUUUUAUUGAAGAUGAGCAUUGAGUUCUCCUAUAGCUACCACCUCCUGCAAACACACACGAGUUAGAGUGUAUGAGAGGAGAAACGGAGAAUACAACCAUUUGUACUGUCCACUCCCAAUUAAAAGGGAAAAAUGGUAAUUAUUCCACCAGACCCCUCCAGAGAUGUAAAACCCUACUGGACAAGGUCAAAGGAAUCAGGUAAUCCUUUAGUAUUCGUUUUCAUUUUGUUUUUUUAUUUGGAGACAUAUUUCUUCUUGCCAUCUACCCUUAUACAACUGUAACGAUUGACUGAUCUUUAGGCCUGCUACACAGAUGUCAUCCUGGAAAUUCACUUUGCCUUUCUUAGAUUCCUGUUUUCU
Molecule: long non-coding RNA, 766 nt
Organism: Lontra canadensis (Northern American river otter)
Lineage: Eukaryota; Metazoa; Chordata; Mammalia; Carnivora; Mustelidae
Exons: 5
Source: RefSeq, a predicted model, not a curated record